Non-coding RNA from Macaca mulatta (Rhesus monkey), 2423 nucleotides. The record is from RefSeq and is a predicted model, not a curated record. Lineage: Eukaryota; Metazoa; Chordata; Mammalia; Primates; Cercopithecidae.
GAGGUGAGGCCUGGUAGGAGGUGAUUAGAUCAUGGAGGUAGAGUUCUCAUGAAUGGUUUAGCCCCAUGCCCACCUGGUACUUUAUAGUGAAUGAGUUCUUAAGAGAUCUGGUUGUUUAAAGUAUGCGGCACCUCCCCUCUCUCUCUCACUCCUGCUCCUGCCAUGUAAGACACCUGCUCUCGCUUUGCCUUCCACUAUGAGUAAAAGCUCCCUGAGGCCUCUCCAGAAGCAGACGCUGCCAUGCUUUCUGUAUAGCAUGCAGAACCAUGAGCCAAUUAAACCUCUUUUCUUUCCAAAUUACCCAGUCUCUGGUAUUUCUUUAUAGCAGUGGGAGAACAGACUAAUGUACCAACUCCAGGUAAUCAUGUGACAAUAUUACUUGUAUGUCCUUUAUCAAAGAACAUAUUCUGCCUCUUUUUGAUCUAAUAAGGAAUUUCUAAAAAGGAGUGAACAAUCAAAACUUUUGUAUGAUCAUAGAAUGCAAUUACAAAAGAAAACAUAAUUUAGACACAACUCUCACCUUAUUCAUUAUUCAUUCAUUCAUUUAUUCAUUCAAAAGUUACAAGUCACUUGCAAUGUUCCAGGGUCCAUGGUAGGCAUCGAAGGCAUUAACAACUGAUUUUUAUUCGUGCUUAGUAUGUGCCAGGCAAUUUUUAUGUGUUUAAUCUCGACACCUACCUUGUGAGGUAAGUACUAUUAGUUUCUGCAUUUUACAGUUGAGGAAACUAAGGCAAGAGGUUAAGACAUACACCAAAUAUCUCAAAGCUGGUAAGGGAUCCACUGGAAGUUUGCACCUAAGAAGUCUGGCUUGUGCUCCAAACCACUGGGAUACGCCCUGGAUAAGCUUUAUCUCCCAAAGAGGAAGAGAAUUGCUAAGUUUAUAUGUUGCAUGAGUGAGUGAGUGAGAUUAAGUGUUCAAAUUCACUAUGCUCAUAAACUUCGGCUCUAUUGAAAUGGCUUAGGCUCAACUGGAUAAGGAGGAAUACAGGUUACUCAGCCUGUGCAGACAAUGUACUAAAUUCAACAGCUUGCAAUAGUUUAUAACCCAAGCACAGUAAAAUUCCUACUAUUGUAUAUUGCUUCAUAAAGAUUCCCUAGAAAUAUCUGAAGAUGUGUUGUCUUGUUAGAAAUUAUAAAAAUCCAUGUGGUCUGCCAUGCACCAACAGAGUAUGAAUUUAGGGUUUUUUGUUGGUUAGUUGGUGAUAGGUUGAUGGGGCUUGAAAACCACCAGUAGUCAAUGUACAAUAUAACUUUUAAAAUGAAUUUUUUGCUAUGAUUUAUUCACUUCCAUUUCCAGAUCAUUUACUUCAACAAGAAUUUCAGUUAAGUUCAAUUUAACUCAACAGUGAAUGGUGCAUGUUCAGUGUUAAGAAUUGUGCCAUAUGAGGGAGAUACAAAGAUGAAUAAGGCAUAGUUUUUGUCCCCCAGAAGCUUCAAACCUGGGGAAGCAAAUUUAUUGAUUGAUUCAUUUAACAAUAUUUAUUUAAUGUUUUAUUAUGUACCUAGUAUUACACAAGGUGCUCAAGCACAAUGGCAAACCAAAGAGACAAAAUGUUUUCUUAAAAUAAACUGGUUUACCACAAAUUAAUAAUUUUCUUCUAUAGGUUGAUUUUUCAGUUGUAGUACACCUUGAAUUUUACAUUUUUUUUUUCUUUCACUUACACAGGCAAAGCAAAUUGAAGAAUUGGAGCACUGAGCUCAAAGAGGGAAAAAGAGAGAACACUGGGAAGAGAGCAGGAUGCUUCCUCCUUUGAGCCAAGAACAGAUGAAAAAUGGAUGAAGUUAUAAAUAAUGAAAAGAUGUAACAUAUAGAAGAUAAUUAAUAAAUCAAUCAAAAUAAAAAUCAAAGGUUACAGAAAAAUAUGAAGUGAAUAUAAUGAAAAGAAACACGUUCAUGUAUAUUCAUUGCAGCACUAUUUGUUAUAGUGAAAAUUGUAAACAAGCAAAAUAUGUACCAAUACAUGUGGUAAGAUUGCUAGAUACCCAGUCAAUCUGCAUUCUCCCCUUCCUCCUUACUAAAAGAACCUGAUUGUUGUUGGUAUCAAUAUAUCUGACUACAGUAUUAAAUUUCCCUUAAUUCCUGACAGAAAGGAAUGGCUAUGUGUUAAGAUAUGACCAAUGAGAUAUAAGCAGGAAUUGUUAGGUAGGACUUGUACAAAAGGGUUUUAAAAGGGGAUUGACUUUACUGGCACACCAAUUUGUUCCUUACCUUUCACUUCUUCCUGACUGGAAUGAAGAUUUGAUUGCUGGAGCUCCAACAGUCACUUUGGGACCAUAGCAUUACCUUGAGGAUGGGAGCCACACUCAGUAUUAGAAUAGCGAAAUCAGUCUAUCCCUGAAAACAUCACGGAAUUAUCACAUAUGCCCAGGACUAUACAAGUCUUGUUAUAUGAAAAAGAUAAAACUUUUAAUUUUGUGCCACA